Molecule: long non-coding RNA, 243 nt
Filed under: Phoenix dactylifera (date palm)
Lineage: Eukaryota; Viridiplantae; Streptophyta; Magnoliopsida; Arecales; Arecaceae
Description: long non-coding RNA (PDAC_LNC019516)
Source: RNAcentral
GAGUUCAAUUGAGUCAUGGUUCAAUUAAAUCCUAAUUAAAUUAGGAUUUGGAGGAAAUUGAAAUGAGUGCAAAUCCUAUUUUGAAUAGGAUUGAAUCCUAGCACUUGGACCCAACUCUCGGGGCGCCGCGCACGAUGGGGGCGGCAGGGGCCCUUCGCCUCUGGGGUCCGGCGUCCCGGCGACAGGAUCGCAUCAGCGUCCACCAUCCGCCGUGUCCGUCCCCGCCGGCUGACCGCUCUUCGG